CGCAUACAAAAGCACAAGAUACUGUUAAGCAAAAGAAAAAAGAUCUCAUUUAGACACUUUUGAGAUUCACUGUUGCUCCUGUGCGGCAAAUGACCCGAAUGCACACAAAAGGGGUCCGGCCGGCGUAUCCUCAGAGAGCAUGAGAGCGCCGGUGAUGCAGUGGCGCUGUGUGCUGACAGAGGGGGAACAAAGGUGACGCUUGAUGGAACGAACACUCUUUCCUCAUGACACACAGAUUCCCUCAGCGAGCCGACCAGCGGCCACGGAGAACAAACGACGUGGGGAAACAUCGGCAGAACUCUUGUUCUCGGUUUUCCUUCACCGCCCUCCAAAACGUGACGCAGCUGCUCCACCUAAUUAGGAUCCAUCGUGGGCUUCAACCAGACAUUUAAGUUGAUUUGAUUUAAGUCGUUUAACAAUUUAAGCUUUUUAAAAGUAUUUUCUAUCCUUAAUUAAAGGCAAUUAAAUGACUUGAAACCUUAAUGCAACAUGUGCUGACAGCUCAGAAGCCCCCGAUGAGCAUUGGGGCUUCUGCUUGCAUGAAGUAAGCUCUGUGUUUCCUUUCAAAGCUUUGGCUCGUCUCCAGUUGUUUCUUCCAUUUGUGACUCAGCUGAAGGAUGAAUGUGUACACCUUCGUCCUGCUCCUCUUCCUCUGUGAUAUUCAGGCGUUCAGAGGUGCAUAUGUGACGGGGCUUUAGGGGAAGAAACCAACAAGCCUCAACCUUACACCCCAGGAAAUACAGAUUUAAAUCUUAUCCCAAGUCACUGUGGAGAAGGCAGAGACAGGUUUGUUGUAAUUAAGAAAAAAUGUUUUAUGAGAGAAAACAAUAAAAAACAAGGGAGGCACAAAUCACUAUAAAAACUGGGUUUUUAUUAAAAAAUAAAUAAAAAAAGGCAAGUUGACUUAACGGCAAAUGCAACACGGCAAACAAAACAACUGAGGAAAACACCAAAAAGUAAACUGAAGAAAACAUAAGAUUACAAA
Molecule: long non-coding RNA, 985 nt
Organism: Gasterosteus aculeatus aculeatus (three-spined stickleback)
Lineage: Eukaryota; Metazoa; Chordata; Actinopteri; Perciformes; Gasterosteidae
Source: Ensembl